This 207-nucleotide ribosomal RNA is filed under the name uncultured bacterium. Its description in RNAcentral is "partial 16S ribosomal RNA". It matches the Rfam family "Bacterial small subunit ribosomal RNA", at positions 568 to 774 of the family's 1533-position model. The record is from RNAcentral.
CGCGUAGGUGGUCCGAUAAGUCGGAGGUGAAAUCCCUCGGCUCAACCGAGGACCCGCGUCCGAUACUGUCGGACUUGAGUGCAGGAGAGGAGAGCGGAAUUCCCAGUGUAGCGGUGAAAUGCGUAGAUAUUGGGAGGAACACCGGUGGCGAAGGCGGCUCUCUGGACUGCUACUGACACUGAGGCGCGAAAGCUAGGGGAGCAAACG